This 332-nucleotide unclassified non-coding RNA is filed under the name Hevea brasiliensis (rubber tree). Lineage: Eukaryota; Viridiplantae; Streptophyta; Magnoliopsida; Malpighiales; Euphorbiaceae. The record is from RNAcentral.
GGGGGAGAGUUCUUACCUGAUUCUUGCCUAAAUUAAAACAGGGAGAUCGGAGGAGAGUUUCUAUCCGAAAUCUCCCGUUCACAACUCUUAAUAAAAUAUAUCUAGAGAUCGGGAGAAGUUCAGUCCUGAGUUUUCUUAGCAAAGUUCUAAAUAAACAAAACUUCAACAUACGAGGCAACUUUAUCCGAACACCUAUUCACUAAAAGGCCAUCUCAUGAACUUCUGUUCGUGGGACAAUCCGAACCAGUGAAACAUCAAAUUAUUCCUUUUUAUCUGUCCAAAGGAUUAACAUUGUCACUAUUCCAACCCCCCUAAUUACCCUUUUAAUUUAU